GUCCCUGUAGUAUAACCUAACUACUUUGGUCUUGUAAACCAAAAAUGGAGAAUCCCCCUCCCAAGGACA
This 69-nucleotide transfer RNA is filed under the name Varecia variegata (ruffed lemur). Its description in RNAcentral is "tRNA-Thr". Lineage: Eukaryota; Metazoa; Chordata; Mammalia; Primates; Lemuridae. The record is from RNAcentral.